Molecule: unclassified non-coding RNA, 561 nt
Filed under: Sclerocleista thaxteri
Lineage: Eukaryota; Fungi; Ascomycota; Eurotiomycetes; Eurotiales; Aspergillaceae
Description: Aspergillus citrisporus sequence contains 18S rRNA gene, ITS1, 5.8S rRNA gene, ITS2, 28S rRNA gene
Rfam family: 5.8S ribosomal RNA (bases 235-388)
Source: RNAcentral
GGAAGUAAAAAGUCGUAACAAGGUUUCCGUAGGUGAACCUGCGGAAGGAUCAUUACCGAGUGUCGGGCCCUCUGGGUCCAACCUCCCACCCGUGUUUAUUGUACCCUGUUGCUUCGGCGGGCCCGCUGGUCCGCCAGCCGCCGGGGGGGCAUCUGCCCCCCGGGUCCGCGCCCGCCGAAGACACCCUGAACUCUAUGUGAAGUAUGCAGUCUGAGCGAUUAUACCAAUCGUUAAAACUUUCAACAACGGAUCUCUUGGUUCCGGCAUCGAUGAAGAACGCAGCGAAAUGCGAUAAGUAAUGUGAAUUGCAGAAUUCAGUGAAUCAUCGAGUCUUUGAACGCACAUUGCGCCCCCUGGCAUUCCGGGGGGCAUGCCUGUCCGAGCGUCAUUACUGCCCUCAAGCCCGGCUUGUGUGUUGGGCCUCCGUCCCCUGGGACGGGGCCCGAAAGGCAGUGGCGGCGUCGUCCGAUCCUCGAGCGUAUGGGGCUUUGUCACCCGCUCUUGCAGGACCGGCCGACGUCCAGUCGACCUCCAAUCUUUCUCCAGAUUGACCUCGGAUCA